CAACUAUUGUCUCUGUAUGAUUACAGUAUCCAUUUCAUGAAUGAAGGGCUAAUGUUAAUUGGUGGUGGGUAUAACUCUUUGUUAACCUUUUUGCUAUGAUGCUUGCUAUGCUUAUACAACAAUAAUUUGGUUUCAACUCAAUCAUGAGAUCUAAUUUAUAAUAUUGUGCUUUGCAAUAAAACUGUUAAAAGUUCAGUUAUCAUUUCCAUCAGUUGGUUUAACAUUAGGCCCUGUAAAUAACCAAGGGCAUUUUAUUUGCUACACAGUAUGCUAAGUAUUGUUUCCUAAGUAUAGUUUUACAAGUCAUAACUAAAAGUGUGUCAUGCGUAUAAUUUGAGGCAGUAACCUAAUGGCACCUCCAUGAAAGUUAGAUUGAUAUACAAAUUUUGGUUGAAAAAUAUCAUGAAACCCAAAAAGUUUUUGUUUUUGCCUAUACAUAUAAUUUAAAGUCAUUUUAUUUUUUUAAACAACUGAGUCCCAGUGACCAUAGCAUAACGUGAAUAAAAUAUAUUUCAAUGUAUUUUUUUUACUAUUUGUUUCUAUGCUCUAAACAAUGUGAUGACAUGGGGGGAAAAAUGAAAUAAAUAAAUGUUUUUAUUUUCCGGGUCUAGGAGGAUAUAGCGUGUAAUGACAGACAUUUAGUGUGUAAGAGCAUGUUUAUGUAACCCUUCUAUUAUGUUUUGAGUUAAUUUGACCCUAGGCUGUUUUAGCUUUAUAAAACAUUAUCCUAUGGUCUUUUGAUUUCAAAUGAAGUUAAAUUGCAAUUUCAGGGGCACUUCUAAAAUAUUUUGGAGCAUCCUCUGCCACUGGUCAGGAUGAGCCAACCACCUCCUCCGCUACACAUAUGUCUCCACAAAUAUCUGAUAUUGAGGAUGAAGACCUCUUUGCCUCUACUUCUACCCAGCAUGAGCUUUCAGAAAUGCCUGGAGCUGAACCCCCACUGAGCCCCACUGGCCCUCACAUCUGACUGACUGGAUUCGGACUGAGCUGGUUCACAGAGGACCAAGUAAAGUGCCACCUGGCUUUGUUUUCCGUAGGAAUGAGAGUAAUGGGAGAAGUUGCCACCACUAAUAUUUUAAUAAGACAUUAGUAAGUGGUGAAAAGAUGGCAAGAAGUUGGCUGAUUUCUUCAAUUAAGAACAACAGCCUCUUUUGCUUCUGCUGCAAAUUGUUCUCCAAGAGGAACAUCAAUUUAACAAGUGCAGGAAUGGCAAAUUGGAAACAUGCAUGCAAUGAUCUCACAUCAUAUGAAAACAGUUGUUAUAAUAAAAUAUUGCUGUUUGUGCAGAA
Carassius gibelio (silver crucian carp) is the source of this 1289-nucleotide long non-coding RNA. RefSeq lists it as uncharacterized. The record is from RefSeq and is a predicted model, not a curated record. The transcript is spliced from 2 exons. Lineage: Eukaryota; Metazoa; Chordata; Actinopteri; Cypriniformes; Cyprinidae.